CAAACCUCAACCUCUUUCCCAGCUUAUGGAGUAUCUUCCAUGUGAGAACACUGUCAUAAACACCAGGUAUACAGUGGCAAACAAAGUGACUUAGUUACAGCUUUCGGGGAGCAUAGAGUCUAGUAGAGAAACAGUAAACAACUAAGCAAAUACGUAAAUAGAUAUGUUAUAAAACAUCAUGCAGAAAAGGCCAGUACAGAUCUUCUUCGACUUAUGAUGGGGUUAUGUCCCAAUAAACCCAUCGUAAGUUGAAAAUAUUGUAAGUGAAAAUGCACUUAAUACACCUCACCUCCCAAACAUCAUAGCUCAGCCUCGCCUACCUUAAACAUGCUCAGAACACUUACAUUCAGCCCCUGAGCCGGCUUCUGCCGCGGCGGUGCGAUGACCACGCUCCGGGCCUCCACGUGCGAUGACCUGUUCCGCUUCAACAAUAUUAACUUGGAUCCACUUACAGAAACUUACGGGAUUCCUUUUUACCUCCAGUACCUUGCCCACUGGCCAGAGUACUUCAUUGUUGCAGAGGCACCUGGUGGAGAGUUAAUGGGUUAUAUCAUGGGUAAAGCGGAAGGCUCAGUAGCUAGGGAAGAAUGGCACGGGCAUGUCACAGCUCUCUCUCUUGCUCCGGCAUUUCGACGCCUUGGUUUGGCUGCUAAACUUAUGGAGUUAUCAGAGGAGAUUUCAGAAAGAAAGGGUGGAUUUUUUGUCGAUCUCUUUGUAAGAGUAUCUGACCAAGUCGCAGUCAACAUGUAUAAGCAGUUGGGCUACAGUGUGUACAGGACGGUCAUAGAGUACUACUCGGCCAGCAACGGGGAGCCCGACGAGGACGCCUAUGAUAUGAGGAAAGCAUUUUCCAGAGACACUGAGAAGAAAUCCGUCAUACCAUUACCUCAUCCUGUGAGGCCUGAAGACAUUGAAUAACCAUGGGCAGUGGUUCUUAGGCUGAUGCUCCAGAUAUUUUAUGGACAAUAUUAUUUUCAUUGGAUGAUCUUGGAGCUCUAUUAGGAGAAAAGUAAUCAUUUAGGUCUCACAGACUUCAAGAAAAUACAGGUUAUAAACUUGAGGCUCAUUGUUUCCAGUUAGCAAUAUCAUACCUACUAAAGCUGUUCACUGUAAUAAAAUUCAAUCAAAAAGGCAGCUGGGUCAGAUGGAAACAUUCCACUGAUUUGGUUCAUAAUAUUUACUAUAUGCUAGGGAAAAAACUUGCUCUAGUCUCCUCCUAAAUUCUGUGCCUGAGAACCACUGCUACAUAUAUAUUUUUUAUUUUGUAUCAAACUGUUAAUUGAAGCUUUAAAAGCAUAUAUGAAAUGUAUGAAUCUAAGAUGUAUAAUAAAAUGCACUGUAGACCCUAAAAAAAAAAAAGAACACUUA
Molecule: non-coding RNA, 1368 nt
Organism: Callorhinus ursinus (northern fur seal)
Lineage: Eukaryota; Metazoa; Chordata; Mammalia; Carnivora; Otariidae
Source: RefSeq, a predicted model, not a curated record